Molecule: non-coding RNA, 73 nt
Organism: Stegodyphus mimosarum
Lineage: Eukaryota; Metazoa; Arthropoda; Arachnida; Araneae; Eresidae
Source: Rfam
GCCUUCGUGGUGUAGUGGUCAGCACGCUGGACGCGUAACCCAGAGGUCAGUGGUUCGAUUCCCGGCGAAGGCG